UACAUGCAAGUCGAACGCGUCUUGGUCAAUGAUUUUAGGUGCUUGCACUUGACUGAUUUGACAUUGAGACGAGUGGCGAACUGGUGAGUAACACGUGGGUAACCUGCCCUUGAAGUAGAGGAUAACACUUGGAAACAGGUGCUAAUACUGCAUAACAACGAAAACCGCCUGGUUUUCGUUUGAAAGAUGGCUUCGGCUAUCGCUUUAGGAUGGACCCGCGGCGUAUUAGCUAGUUGGUGAGGUAACGGCUCACCAAGGCAAUGAUACGUAGCCGACCUGAGAGGGUAAUCGGCCACAUUGGGACUGAGACACGGCCCAAACUCCUACGGGAGGCAGCAGUAGGGAAUCUUCCACAAUGGACGAAAGUCUGAUGGAGCAACGCCGCGUGAGUGAUGAAGGGUUUCGGCUCGUAAAACUCUGUUGUUGGAGAAGAACGGGUGUCAGAGUAACUGUUGACAUCGUGACGGUAUCCAACCAGAAAGCCACGGCUAACUACGUGCCAGCAGCCGCGGUAAUACGUAGGUGGCAAGCGUUGUCCGGAUUUAUUGGGCGUAAAGCGAGCGCAGGCGGUUUUUUAGGUCUGAUGUGAAAGCCUUCGGCUUAACCGGAGAAGUGCAUCGGAAACCGGGAGACUUGAGUGCAGAAGAGGACAGUGGAACUCCAUGUGUAGCGGUGAAAUGCGUAGAUAUAUGGAAGAACACCAGUGGCGAAGGCGGCUGUCUGGUCUGCAACUGACGCUGAGGCUCGAAAGC
Molecule: ribosomal RNA, 752 nt
Filed under: Lentilactobacillus diolivorans
Lineage: Bacteria; Bacillati; Bacillota; Bacilli; Lactobacillales; Lactobacillaceae
Description: bacterial SSU rRNA
Rfam family: Bacterial small subunit ribosomal RNA
Source: RNAcentral